GACGAACGCUGGCGGCGUGCCUAAUACAUGCAAGUCGAGCGCUGAAGCUUGGUCCUUGUACCGAUUGGAUGAGCAGCGCACGGGUGAGUAACGCGUGGGGAACCUGCCUUUGAGCGGGGGACAACAUCUGGAAACGAAUGCUAAUACCGCAUAAAAACUUUAAACACAUGUUUUAAGUUUGAAAGAUGCAAUUGCAUCACCCAAAGAUGAUCCCGCGUUGUAUUAGCUGGUUGGUGAGGUAAAGGCACACCAAGGCGAUGGUACAUAACCGACCUGAGAGGGGGAUCGGCCACAUUGGGACGGAGACACGGCCCAAGACCCUACGGGGGGCAGCAGUAGGGAAACUUCGGCAAUGGAGGGAAGUCUGACCGAGCAACGCCGCGGGAGGGAAGAAGGUUUUCGGAUCGUAAAACUCUGUUUGUAGAGAAGAACGAUGGUGAGAGUGGAAAGCUCAUCAAGUGACGGUAACUACCCAGAAAGGGACGGCUAACUACGUG
This 497-nucleotide ribosomal RNA is filed under the name uncultured bacterium. RNAcentral's name for it is "partial 16S ribosomal RNA". It matches the Rfam family "Bacterial small subunit ribosomal RNA", at positions 28 to 507 of the family's 1533-position model. The record is from RNAcentral.